This 388-nucleotide ribosomal RNA is filed under the name uncultured bacterium. Its description in RNAcentral is "bacterial SSU rRNA". It matches the Rfam family "Bacterial small subunit ribosomal RNA", at positions 971 to 1382 of the family's 1533-position model. The record is from RNAcentral.
UUACCAACCCUUGACAUCCCCGGACCGCCGCAGAGAUGCGGUUUCCACUUCGGUGGCCGGGUGACAGGUGCUGCAUGGCUGUCGUCAGCUCGUGUCGUGAGAUGUUCGGUUAAGUCCGGCAACGAGCGCAACCCACGUCCCCAGUUGCCAGCAUUCGGUUGGGCACUCUGUGGAAACUGCCGAUGAUAAGUCGGAGGAAGGUGUGGAUGACGUCAAGUCCUCAUGGCCCUUACGGGUUGGGCUACACACGUGCUACAAUGGUGGUGACAAUGGGUUAAUCCCCAAAAGCCAUCUCAGUUCGGAUUGUCGUCUGCAACUCGACGGCAUGAAGUUGGAAUCGCUAGUAAUCGCGUAACAGCAUGACGCGGUGAAUACGUUCCCGGGCCUU